UUCCGGGCUGCGGCGGGGCAGCUUUCCUACCCCUCGGGUGAGUAGCAGCGGCACACAGAGCCCGGGCCGAUCCUCCUGCCCGAUCGCGCGGCAUAUGGAGCGCGGUGGAUCCGGUGCAGAUGUGCUGCGCGCGGUCGGAGGUCAGGCUCUGCAGCCCAGGCGAAGCUGGGAGGAAACUCGAGCCUGUGACCCUGUCACCUUAGCAGGCGCAACCACGUGGUUCAGGGUCUGGGGACAUGGCCAGAAAGGCUAUCAAGCUUGCUUCGUGGACCAGCAUGGCUCUUGCUGCCUCCGGGGUCUACCUCUACAGCAACAGCUACUUGGACCCUAGUGACUUUGGCGCUGUCAGGGUGGGCAGAGCUGUUGCUACG
RNAcentral lists this long non-coding RNA (371 nucleotides) under Rattus norvegicus (Norway rat). RNAcentral describes it as "long non-coding RNA NONRATT024535". The record is from RNAcentral. Lineage: Eukaryota; Metazoa; Chordata; Mammalia; Rodentia; Muridae.